RNAcentral lists this non-coding RNA (30 nucleotides) under Rattus norvegicus (Norway rat). The record is from RNAcentral. Lineage: Eukaryota; Metazoa; Chordata; Mammalia; Rodentia; Muridae.
UCCUCCUGCAACAUGUAAGGCUGGCCAAGA